Unclassified non-coding RNA from Vigna unguiculata (cowpea), 1393 nucleotides. The record is from RefSeq and is a predicted model, not a curated record. NCBI's taxonomy places the organism in Eukaryota, Viridiplantae, Streptophyta, Magnoliopsida, Fabales, Fabaceae.
CAAAGAAAUAGUGAGUAGGGAAGGAAGAACCAAGUCUCUGUUCUCUCUACUCAUAACUUUCUUCCAUUCUAUUUCUAUAUCAUCCUUCGCCUCUUCUCUUCUUCCUUUCCCUCAUUCUCUUACUCUCAUUCCCAACAACACCACCGUUUCCAGACAAACAAUCCUCCUCCAGCUUCCAGAGCUUUCCGCGUUUCCGAAUGUCCACCGCACCGGCGCAGCCUCCGGUGAAGUCCCAGCCUCUGCACAACUUCGCCCUCCCCUUCUUGAAAUGGGGAGCCAGCGGCAAGAACCACACCAACGCAGCGCACCACCACCGCUACCGCCGCCCCUCCUCCCACCCCUCCGAUCACGCCUCCGAACCUGACUCCGACCCCGACUCCCGCCCCCACCGCCUUGGAUCCAGGACCGCCCGCAACCGAUUCGCACUCCCCACCUGCUCCCUCAAGCCGCUACCUCCACCACCACAGCCACCUCAGGCGCCGUCGUGCAACGAUGAAACCGACGACGAAGCUGCCAAGCGCGACAUCGAGGACGCCGAGGAGGCCGUGCAGAAGCCGUGGAACUUGCGCCCCCGCAAACCGGCGCUCCCCAAGUCCGCGCUCGAGAUCGGAACUGGUCCUUCACGGAAUCACGCCAACAACGGCGCGGGAGAGUUUCACGACGCCGUUUCGCACCACGGCGAGCACCCCGCCCCGAAGUCGCUCCGGCUGCGAGGGUUUGCGGACACUCAGUGUGCGGAGAAGAAGGAGAAGAGGAAAUUCUGGAUCGCUCUUUCUCGAGAAGAGAUCGAAGAGGACAUCUUUGUCAUGACUGGCUCCAGACCCGCCCGCAGGCCCAGGAAGCGGCCCAAGAACGUCCAGAAACAAAUGGAUAGUGUUUUCCCUGGCUUAUGGCUGGUGGGGAUAACUGCGGAUGCUUACAGAGUCCCUGAUACACCUACGAAGAGGUGAAGCCAAUUCAGAAAAGUAUUGAAGAUUUGGGGAGGUACAGAGGCGUGGAAUUUUGUAAAGAGGAGUAAGUGUUGGAUUGGAAUUUGGAAAGAAGGCUAUGACGAAGAUAACAACAACAAUGAUGCUAGUUUUCUUGUGUUGAUUCCCAGCACUAGGUUUUAGAUGCAAGGGACAACUUUAGUUGAUUUUUAGUAGUUUACAUCUCUGUAAGGAAAGAAAAAUAUGAUAUGGCUUAGGGUAGCGUGCUUGUAGUUAAUUAGCCAAAUCAUCAGUUCAAUUUAUCGGAGGCACUGCAUCUCCUUGCUUCCUUAGUGGCUCCGGAAGCCGACUUUGAUGGAAGACACUGAUGUGGUUGAAAGUUAACUGCAAUGAUUGCAUGCUUUUGAUGCCUUUCCCUAUGUAUAUUAUGUUCUCGUAUUGUUAUUUGAUUUGGUUCUUCUGAA